GACGAACGCUGGCGGCGUGCUUAACACAUGCAAGUCGAACGGAAAGGCCCUGCUUUUGUGGGGUGCUCGAGUGGCGAACGGGUGAGUAACACGUGAGUAACCUGCCCUUGACUUUGGGAUAACUUCAGGAAACUGGGGCUAAUACCGGAUAGGAGCUCCUGCUGCAUGGUGGGGGUUGGAAAGUUUCGGCGGUUGGGGAUGGACUCGCGGCUUAUCAGCUUGUUGGUGGGGUAGUGGCUUACCAAGGCUUUGACGGGUAGCCGGCCUGAGAGGGUGACCGGCAACAUUGGGACUGAGAUACGGCCCAGACUCCUACGGGAGGAAGCAGUGGGGAAUAUUGCACAAUGGGCGGAAGCCUGAUGCAGCAACGCCGCGUGCGGGAUGACGGCCUUCGGGUGGUAAACCGCUUUCGCCUGUGACGAAGCGUGAGUGACGGUAAUGGGUAAAGAAGCACCGGCUAACUACGU
RNAcentral lists this ribosomal RNA (467 nucleotides) under uncultured bacterium. RNAcentral's name for it is "partial 16S ribosomal RNA". It matches the Rfam family "Bacterial small subunit ribosomal RNA", at positions 28 to 506 of the family's 1533-position model. The record is from RNAcentral.